CUACGGGUCGCUCCAGUCGCGGAACUUUUACAAUGCACGCAAGUGUGAUAAAGCAAGCCAAAGUGCUUUUCGUUUAGAAAAGCUUUUUCUCGGCGUAAAAACCCGGGAGAAUAAGGACUGGGAAAGACUGGUGCCAGCCGCCGCGGUAAUACCAGCAGUUCAAGUUGCAUCCCUUUUUAUUGGGUCUAAAACAUCCGUAGCUUGCCGUUUAAGUCUCUUGUGAAAUCCUACGUCUCAAGCGUAGCGAAGUGCAGGAGAUACUGGGUGGCUAGAGAUCGGUAGACGUAAGAAGUACGCGACGGGUAACGGUCAAAUGUGUUAAGCCGUCGUGGACUAACAAUGAGCGAAGGCAUCUUACGAGGACGAAUCUGACAGUGAGGGAUGAAGGCCAGGGGCGCAAAACGGAUUAGAUACCCGUGUAGUC
This 424-nucleotide ribosomal RNA is filed under the name uncultured archaeon. RNAcentral's name for it is "partial 16S ribosomal RNA". It matches the Rfam family "Archaeal small subunit ribosomal RNA", at positions 323 to 746 of the family's 1478-position model. The record is from RNAcentral.